CAUGAUUAAAAUCGGUACACCUCUUCAAUGUCCGGUUUUGUAAGUAGUUAUUAUUAGUUUUCCUCAUUUCAAACUUUUCUGAACUUUUGGCCGGUAGCUUGAACUCAGGGGCAGGAGAAGAUGCGAGGUUCAUGGGAACUAUUCGACCUCCUGCAGUGACUCUGUGAUGUUUGGGUGACGCAUGUUCCUUCAAAAAUCGGGCGAAACCUGCAUCACUUUGGGCAAGAUUACCUUGGGGCGCGUUUAAUGGUUGGCGACGAGGAUACUGAACACUAUUGGCCUGUGAGAGCAACAAUCCGUCCUCAUUACUCAGCGAGAAGCUCGAGGAGAUUCGGUGACGGUUAACCGGUUUUUCCGCCAACACCCGAUUCUCAGAGUGUUCUUUGCGGUGCCUUAGAGAAGCGACUGUGAUAUCUGUCAGCUUGGCGUCAAAAGAAGGGAUGAUUUCAAGGUAAACAACAAGAUAUUACACACCAUCGAUACUAUUACAGCUG
RNAcentral lists this small RNA (494 nucleotides) under Histoplasma ohiense. RNAcentral describes it as "hypothetical lncRNA". Lineage: Eukaryota; Fungi; Ascomycota; Eurotiomycetes; Onygenales; Ajellomycetaceae. The record is from RNAcentral.